RNAcentral lists this ribosomal RNA (405 nucleotides) under uncultured bacterium. RNAcentral's name for it is "partial 16S ribosomal RNA". It matches the Rfam family "Bacterial small subunit ribosomal RNA", at positions 30 to 526 of the family's 1533-position model. The record is from RNAcentral.
AUUGAACGCUGGCGGCAGGCUUAACACAUGCAAGUCGAACGAGUGGCGGACGGGUGAGUAAUGCAUGGGCAUCUAGGUGAUGGAGGGGGAUAGCUAAGGGAAACUUUAGCCACUACCGCGCACCCUAGGAUGAGCUCACGUGGGAUUAGGUAGUGGGUGAGGUAAAGGCUCACCAAGCCGACGAGCUCUGGCUGGUCUGAGAGGAUGACCAGCCACACUGGGACUGAGACACGGCCCAGACUCCUACGGGAGGCAGCAGUGGGGAAUAUUGCGCAAUGGGGGAAAGCUGACUCAGCCAUGCCGCGUGAAUGAAGAAGGCCUUCGGGUUGUAAAGUUCUUUCGGUAGCGAGGCGUUAACUACAGAAGAAGCACCGGCUAACUCCGUGCCAGCAGCCGCGGUAAUAC